Manihot esculenta (cassava) is the source of this 675-nucleotide long non-coding RNA. RefSeq lists it as uncharacterized. NCBI's taxonomy places the organism in Eukaryota, Viridiplantae, Streptophyta, Magnoliopsida, Malpighiales, Euphorbiaceae. The transcript has 2 exons. The record is from RefSeq and is a predicted model, not a curated record.
GCAGAGUUGUGGUAAAUUUCAGAAAAGCAAAAGCAGCUUUUGACCAAUUGGAGGACACAGAUAUUGUAGAGACCAAAAAAAGGAGGAAGAAGGCGAUUGUCAAUUGCACCAGUGUCCUACAUUCAGAUCAAUAAGAUGCAGGAUUUGCAAGAAAUGUUGAUGAAACUGAGAGAUGAAUAUAGAUUUUGCCUGCUUUAUGGAUUUCAGGCAAAUCAAUAUCUUACUUCCAACUGAAUGUGAAGCAUUAGACUCGUACAUGACACAAAUGCAUACAUCUUUAAUUGCAAAUUUUCAAAGAACAGGAUUGCUGUUUGCUUCAGUAUGAAACAAUGGAAGUGCUUCUAUUCCAACUGCCUUGGAACAGAUGAAGAUGACUGCUAGGCUUACGUGUCCAAGGGGCCUCCCAGAUGCAAUUUUAUGACAAAUUUGUAAGUUAGGUAGAUGAACUUGGUCCAUUUUCUGUAUUUUACUGGGUGGAAUUUUCUUCUUUGUUGCUUUGUGUAGAGGAUGUCAAGACAAAUUCAGGAAGGUGACGAGUCAUUUUCAUAUAUUAGACCACAUGUUGCUGUUGGGAGUUACAUCCAUGCUAAAUCAUGCAUAUUGUUCUUAUAGGCUCUCCAUGCCACAGAUGGGUAGCUCAAUCACAGUUGAGAAAUUUUCAUGUUGGUUCAAAAA